CGCCUCUUGACCAAAUAUAAGAGGUCCAGCCUGCCCAGUGACUCUGUUUAACGGCCGCGGUAUCCUAACCGUGCGAAGGUAGCGUAAUCACUUGUUCUUUAAAUGAGGACUAGUAUGAAUGGCAUCACGAAGGUUAUACUGUCUCCUUUUUCUAAUCAGUGAAACUAAUCUCCCCGUGAAGAAGCGGGGAUAAUAAUAUAAGACGAGAAGACCCUAUGGAGCUUUAAACUAAGUAACACUAGCUUUUAAAAAUCUCUACUCCAGAGUAUAUAACAAUAAAUUUAGCUUGCUGAUUACUAGUUUUAGGUUGGGGUGACCGCGGAGCAUAAAACAACCUCCGCAUUGAACGGGGGCUCCCCUGAGCCAUGAGCUACAACUCUACGCACCAACAUAUUGACAUCCAUUGACCCAAUAUAUUGAUCAACGAACCAAGUUACCCUAGGGAUAACAGCGCAAUCCGCUUCAAGAGCUCCUAUCGACAAGCGGGUUUACGACCUCGAUGUUGGAUCAGGGUAUCCCAGUGGUGCAGCCGCUACUAAAGGUU
Molecule: ribosomal RNA, 544 nt
Filed under: Smilisca fodiens (lowland burrowing treefrog)
Lineage: Eukaryota; Metazoa; Chordata; Amphibia; Anura; Hylidae
Description: partial 16S ribosomal RNA
Rfam family: Bacterial large subunit ribosomal RNA
Source: RNAcentral